GCCAGUGUGAUGCAGUUGUUUUGAGUGUUGGACCUAUAACUCUGGAGACCAGGGUUCGAAUCCCUGCUCAGCCA
Phrynosoma platyrhinos (Desert horned lizard) is the source of this 74-nucleotide non-coding RNA. NCBI's taxonomy places the organism in Eukaryota, Metazoa, Chordata, Lepidosauria, Squamata, Phrynosomatidae. The record is from the annotation of a GenBank genome assembly.